Molecule: RNA transcript, 1292 nt
Organism: Arachis duranensis
Lineage: Eukaryota; Viridiplantae; Streptophyta; Magnoliopsida; Fabales; Fabaceae
Exons: 4
Source: RefSeq, a predicted model, not a curated record
CUAUUGUGGCUAAACAUGCCUAGCCCGCACUAUUGCACUACUGCACUAUCCUUUGCCCCACUAAAACUUAACCUUAACACACACAUCACACUCCAGCGCCGCACCCUCCAGCUUUCACUCUCCAGGUUUCUCACACUUCUCACGCUCCCACUAGAGGCUCAACACUCUUUGUCGAUGGCAGAUUCCAUUACAGUCGCACCCUCAUCCAGCCCACAAUGCGCUCGUGCAUUUUAUUUUGCGUUGCUGCUUUUCUAGCACUGUCAUGGUCUCCAUCUAGCGUCUUCAUUGUCUCUUCGGUUUUAGCCCCAUCGUCUCCGUCAUCUCACCAUCCAGCAUCUCUCUACCGCUCUUUGAUUUCUUUUGCCAUAAGCUUUGUGCAGUGGCUGCUGCUGCUACCGGUUGCAUCACUGGCGGUCCUGCUUGAUGUUCUUGUCACUGUUGAGAUGGCCACUGGAGUGAACAAGAUGCGGCAAUUUUAGUACCAGGAGACAUAAUCAACAUUAAAUUAGGAGAUAUCAUUCCGGCCGAUGCUUGUCUUCUCGAGGACAAUCUUCUAAGUGUUGAUUAGUUUGCUUUAACAGAAGAAUCUCUUCUAGUGACCAAGAACCCCACUGAUGAAGUAUUUUCUAGAUCAACAGUUAAGAAGGAUGAGAUAGAAGCAGUUGUGAUGGCCACUGGUCUACACACCUCCUUUGGUAUAGCGGCUUACUUGGUGGACAGCACUAACCAAGUUGGACACUUCUAGAAAGUGCUUACAGCAAUUGGUAACUUCUUCAUUUGCUCAAAUGCACGAAAUGUUUGAUGACUAUUGAGGAAAUGGCUAGGAUGGAUGUCCUACGCAGUGACAAAACUGUAACCUUGACAUUGAAUAAGCUCAGUGUUGAUAGAAACUUGAUUGAGGUAUUUGCUAAGGGUGUUGAGAAGGAGUAUGUUAUCCUUCUUGCUGCAAGGGCCUCUAGGACCGAAAAUCAAGAUGCUAUAGAUGCUGCAAUUGUUAGGAUGCUUGCUGAUCCAAAGGAGGCUUAAGCUGGAAUUAAGAGGACUGCUCUAACAUACAUUGAUUUUGAUGGAAAUUGGCACCAUGUGAGCAAAGAGGCUCCGGAGCAAGUAAAAACCUAUUUUAUUGGCACCUUCUUAUGAUGGUUAUACCUCAGGUAAAUUCUGGCUGAAAUUGAGGGACUUGAGCAAAACUCUGAAAAAGGCUGACAAAAGGACUGCUGAUGCUGUUGGAAUCUGACCUCCCUGCACUCGAAAUGGAUUUUCUGGAGCUACAGAACUCCAAUUGGCACGCU